CUACGGGACGCAGCAGUGAGGAAUUUUGCGCAAUGGGGGAAACCCUGACGCAGCAACGCCGCGUGAGCGAAGAAGGCCCUCGGGUCGUAAAGCUCUGUCAAGUGGGAAAAAAGCCUUUUGAUCAAUACCCAAAAGGUUUGAUGGUACCACUGGAGGAAGCACCGGCUAACUCCGUGCCAGCAGCCGCGGUAAUACGGAGGGUGCAAGCGUUGUUCGGAAUUACUGGGCGUAAAGGGCGUGCAGGCGGUUUGGCAAGUCAGAUGUGAAAGCCCUGGGCUUAACCCGGGAAGUGCAUUUGAAACUGCCUUUCUUGAGUAUGGGAGAGGAGAGUGGAAUUCCCAGUGUAGAGGUGAAAUUCGUAGAUAUUGGGAGGAACACCCGUGGCGAAGGCGACUCUCUGGACCAAUACUGACGCUGAGACGCGAAAGCGUGGGGAGCAAACAGGAUUAGAUACCCCCGUAGUC
This 464-nucleotide ribosomal RNA is filed under the name uncultured bacterium. RNAcentral describes it as "partial 16S ribosomal RNA". It matches the Rfam family "Bacterial small subunit ribosomal RNA", at positions 339 to 795 of the family's 1533-position model. The record is from RNAcentral.